RNAcentral lists this transfer RNA (64 nucleotides) under Neoepisesarma lafondi. RNAcentral describes it as "tRNA-His". The record is from RNAcentral. Lineage: Eukaryota; Metazoa; Arthropoda; Malacostraca; Decapoda; Sesarmidae.
ACUCAAAUAGUUUAAAAAAAAUAUUAGUUUGUGGCGCUUAAGAUGUAAAGAUUUACUUUGAGUA